GCAAGUCGAAUGAUUAAUUUAUUAAUCAUGGCAAACGGGAGAGUAACACAUUGGUAAUCUACCCUGGGGACGAGAAUAACCCGAAGAAAUUCGGAAUAAUACUCGAUAACAGUGGGGGGUCAUAUGACAUUCCCACUUAAAGUUCCGGCGCCCCGGGAGGAGCCUAUGGCCUAUCAGCUUGUUGGUGAGGUAAAAGCUCACCAAGGCUAUGACGGGUAGCGGGUGUGAGAGCACGACC
Molecule: ribosomal RNA, 238 nt
Filed under: uncultured bacterium
Lineage: Bacteria
Description: partial 16S ribosomal RNA
Rfam family: Bacterial small subunit ribosomal RNA
Source: RNAcentral